Stomoxys calcitrans (stable fly) is the source of this 1802-nucleotide long non-coding RNA. RefSeq lists it as uncharacterized. The record is from RefSeq and is a predicted model, not a curated record. NCBI's taxonomy places the organism in Eukaryota, Metazoa, Arthropoda, Insecta, Diptera, Muscidae. The transcript has 2 exons.
CGACAACUAACAACAUGACCAUAUAAUACCAUGUUUCGCGGAAAACUAGUCAAAAAUCAACAAUUUUACAUAAUUUUAAAAAUUCAACAUAAAUGGUUUAGAAAAUUUUCGUAAGUGAAAUUUCUAUUAAUUCAGUGUCCAGUAGCAGCAUUUGAUGAUAUAUUUUUAAAAAAAUAUUGGUAUGGCGAUAAGCCCACUAUUUUGGCCUGAAGGUACAAUUUUAUGUCAUGAACACUUAAAUGGAAUUUUCUGCGACAAAUGCUUGAAUUUGUUUUAAAACAGAAUAUUCUAUCAUGUUGGAAACUUAAAAUUGUAUUUAUGUAUUUAAAAUGACCCUGAGAAAUAUCAAAAGCACAUAUCCCGCCUACGAACUUAUCUUCGUUUCGCAUUUUAGUUUUGGUUUGCCAUCGCCAAUAAGAACAAAUAUGCAGACGUUGAAGUUGUGAGUUUAUUUCAUUAUUGCACCAACAUACCUGGGAGAACUGAUGCUGUGACACGGCACCUCACGAUUGUGACCCAGAAGUUCAUGAUUGCGUUCGACAAUGCCCCAAGGAGCGAUGCCAAUACUCACAACUCGUCCAGUGCGCUGCUGACCUUCUAGAAGUAAAGCAUCACCGACUUGUUUGGUUACACCUAAAAGCACAAAACCAAAGGCAGAGAUAUGAAGAUGGAAACUUGCAUACAAAAACAUAAAAAUAGAGUCAAAGCUACAAAUAGUGAUGUUAUGACAUGCAAACAUAUAUGCAGGAGCAGAGUCAAUACAAUGACGAGGAUAAAUUUUACUCCCACACCAACACCACAAAUUGACCAUAAUGGCACGUGUGUUAAACAUGGAUGCCAUAUACGAAACAUGUGUAUCCGUUUCCGUAUUGUCUCUUCGCUUGAUGUUCCUUUCUCGUUUUAAUGCAGUGAAAAUAUAAAAAAAAAAUUUUAAUGUGUGGACACGAAAUAACGCCGAGAACACGUUUUUGCAUUUUAUCCGCAUAAAUAAUGGUCACAGCAAAGAAACUCAUGCGUAAAAUGGUCGGGGAGGGAGGGCGGUAGAGCUAUUUCGUGAUAGCCAAUGAUUGAAAAUAUUAAUGAUCAUUGCGGCCUCACCUGUGUUGGUGCCACCAGUAAAAAUCCAAGCCCCGGUUGUUUUAGCAGCCUUCAGCAGUCCUUUUCGUAUUUCCUGAAAGAGAAAUGAAAAAUUGCAUUUCAUUAAACCACAUUCGAUCACAUCAGCUGGAAUAUUCAUACAUAUGUGCCAUAUGGAAAUGUAUCAUGUAAUCUAAUUGAAUGUGAAAGAAAAUAAAUUUGUACAGAAAUGGCCCAAAUGCAAUCCACAAGGACCCAAAUAAACAGGAAGCAACUGCCGAACAUUUCAAGCAGAUAUCUUCAUUUGAUGGAACGCUAUUAUGAAUAUGUCACAGGGACGGACAUGGCUAGAUGAACUUGGAAUAUCAAGAAGAUAGAGAUUAAAUAUACAAUUUACAGGAUCUCAGAUAAAUAUUUCGAGAUAUUACAAACGGAAUGAGGAGAUAACUAUUUCCUCUCGAUUCCUCAUUUUACGGUGUUGGAUGAAAAAAUGAUACAUUGUAUAUUUUAAUGCAUGUAUGUUUUUGCGCACAAGGAAAACGAACCAUUGAGUUCCAAUAUUCAUGCAAUUUUUUUUCUUUAGGCUUAAAUAUUCUGCUGAUAGGAAACUUUUUUCUUGCCACUUCAAAUGGAAAAACCCAGUGAAAAUAACAAAACGCAUCACAAGUAUAUAAUUGAGAUUUUUUUAAUAUUUUAUUCUUAAUAUGAACUGACCUAAAAACAAA